Molecule: long non-coding RNA, 412 nt
Organism: Cloeon dipterum
Lineage: Eukaryota; Metazoa; Arthropoda; Insecta; Ephemeroptera; Baetidae
Exons: 3
Source: RefSeq, a predicted model, not a curated record
GACUACCUUGGACAGCUUAUAUCUUUCGAGAACAAACUAUAUUACGUUGGAUUUCAUGAUCAAAAUGGGAAGAUUAAUGUCACAGAGGUAUACAAGCAUUGCUGUGAGCUCGGAUUUCGACUUUUUGAGCCCCAAAUUCCCUAUGAAGUGACUAUUGUCUCACAAUUAGUCACAACACAGUUUCAUGUUUUGGUGGGCCAGACGGAGUCGAUAAACCACACGCACGAGGUGUGGUGCAACAGCCGCACCCUUGUGCCCGACAAAUACUAUAUGUCCGAUUCCGAUCUGUGGCUGAAAUUCCCCUGCCAGACGUCCAUCAUCGGAGUCACCGUAACGUAUCAAGCAAUUAACGUGAUAACCAUCCCGGACAAGAGCAUCCAUGAUGUAUACAUCAAUCCGCAGAAAUAUGAUU